RNAcentral lists this small nucleolar RNA (107 nucleotides) under Oryza punctata. RNAcentral's name for it is "Plant small nucleolar RNA R71". It matches the Rfam family "Plant small nucleolar RNA R71". From Rfam's summary of the family: R71 is a member of the C/D box family of snoRNAs containing the C (UGAUGA) and D (CUGA) box motifs. The record is from Rfam by way of RNAcentral. Lineage: Eukaryota; Viridiplantae; Streptophyta; Magnoliopsida; Poales; Poaceae.
AUCCCAUGAUGAGGACAAGUGGCAAUGUAUUCCUGCAACCUUUCCCAUGCUUCCGGGACCGUCUCAUCUUUCGUCUGCUGGAAGCUAGAUAUUCUUCCACGAAAAGC